UCUAGUAAUAUGAUUUUUUCUGUGUUGGUGUUGUGUAAUCAUAUUCACCUGAGUACACAACACCAACACAGAAAAAUCAUAUUACUAGA
Paramuricea clavata is the source of this 89-nucleotide non-coding RNA. The record is from the annotation of a GenBank genome assembly. NCBI's taxonomy places the organism in Eukaryota, Metazoa, Cnidaria, Anthozoa, Malacalcyonacea, Plexauridae.